This is a long non-coding RNA of Ictalurus furcatus (blue catfish), 1788 nucleotides long. RefSeq lists it as uncharacterized. The transcript has 3 exons. NCBI's taxonomy places the organism in Eukaryota, Metazoa, Chordata, Actinopteri, Siluriformes, Ictaluridae. The record is from RefSeq and is a predicted model, not a curated record.
CAAAGAAAAGUUCAACUUAUGCGUGAGUAAAACGAGUAGGCAGUUUUAAUCACAUCAUCAUUUUUAUUUUUAAAAUUAGCACAGCCGAAAGUAGCUACAAACACUUGUUGUAAAAAUAAAUAUGCACAUUAGUAUUUAGUAUUUAAAAUAAUAUCCACUCCACUGAAUCAGUAAAGAAAUGCAACAAAUUUGAGAAGUUUUUCUUGGUACUCGUGACAAUUUGUACUUUGGGAAUAUACAACUAAAAUCUUGUCCAACACUGACAGCUGUUUAUCACUUAGUGAGUUCUUUCCAAGUUUUUUUUUUCUCCUCCCACCCUCAGACCCGUCUCUGUCUUGCUUUGUUGGUUUAAAUUAUGCACGUCUCUCCGGAAUGCCAGUCACGAGUCCAAACUUUGCGUCCAACCUCCCACAUGAAAUGAUCCCCCCUUAAAGGGGGCUCAAUAUGUCUCAAUCUGCACUUCACUUCAGUCAAACCAUUUGGGUAUAUAAGGACAGGCUCCAGAAAAGCAUUAAUUAGAGAACGACGCCUCGGACGUGGACAACACUCUUCCCAGCGAGCACUACCAGAAAGUGGACAAGAAGGACACACGAAGCGUUACUCGGAGCUCCUUUGGAGAAAGAGUUAUCAAUGGCGAGGGCUUGCUUUCGGUUACCCUGAACCGGCGAUGAACUCGUGAGCAGUGAAAGCCUCUCACACUAAUCCUGGCUAUGGGGUCAGUAACAGUGUGUCUCCAAGCAGAUAUGCAAAUGAUCCAGGUCCCUUCAGCGACCCUGUGGGUGCUCCGCCCUCUCCGGUGACAUCACCUCGUACACUGGCUUAACAGCACGCUUCGCUAAUAGGCUUUUAUUACACCACCGUGCUAUCUCUAAAUGAUCUCUAAAGUUGUAUCAAAUGGUCACGGGGAAACCUGGAGCCUAUCCUAGGGAGCAUCGGGCACAAGGCGGGGUACACCCUGGACAGGGUGCCAGUCCAUCACAAGGCAACUACCAAAAAUAUCACACAAACAAAUGAAAUUCUAGACUGAAGGUCUAUCAACUGACAACUCCAAGACAGACUGUAAUUAGUCUCCAUCUGUAGGAUGCCACUCAAACCUGUCUCGUAAUAGUUUAAACAUGAAUUUCAUUUCAUUUUCAAAACUGUUGGCGCUCAUUAGGAGGUAUUCUGACAUGCCGUAAUUACACCGUUGUUGCAGUGGCAUUUUGAUUCCAAUAAUAAUAAUAAUGUAAAUUACAUAACAUAAUAAUAAUUUAAUAAAAAUGAACAAAGAUUGCAUUGCGUCCUGAGUGUUUUAUUAUGUCUUGCUUCAUUCAUUUAACACUAUAACUAACUAAUCCAUAGAAAUCUUGAACCAUAAAUGCUUAUUUGUCCUCACAUGAAAUAAAAAGUCUACAACACUGGUACAUGAGCUAUGAAAAGCGAACAGUGUCGAGACAUUACUCCAUAAGGAGCUGAGCUGGAUCAAACACAUCCAGUAACAAAAUCCAUAAGGGGACAUUAGAAGAAAGACACCACAGCAUAGUUGCUGUCAGUGUCCCUGUUAGUAUCCGAGUUGGGUUUCCAAAACCAGCGCUCUGUGAUGCCCUGGCAAUUUGAGGUUUUCUCCAUUGCAUUCCUUGGACGUGGAAAGGGGGAUCCGAGUUCAUUCGUCCUGAGGACUAAUGAGGUGAGAACAGGUGCCAAUGGAAAUGAAGAACAUUACGUUAUGAAUCAUAAGACGACAAAUCAAAUAUACAUUUAUUCCAUUAAACACGGGGAAAAAAAACCCUCCUAUGCUGCUCCUCUCUU